AAACUGUCCAACCACAGGAAAACAGCCUGGCAGAUUCAAAGUUAGGCAAAAACCUUCAGACAGUAAACAGAGUCCUCAUGGGCCCAAGGAGCAUCCAGAAAAGGCACUUCAAAGAGGUGGGAAAGCACAGCACUAGGAAAGAACAGGAUGCCCAGGCAUUUGUGGACAACGCUGCCAAAGAAAAAAGGCUUGAGGGUCCAGCCCCGAGGGAGCUGGAAUAGCCUCACAUAGUGCAGGGGCCUGAGAAGGUAGCGGGAAACACCGUCUCCACCAAGCCUCUCUACAGA
RNAcentral lists this long non-coding RNA (287 nucleotides) under Homo sapiens (human). RNAcentral describes it as "non-protein coding lnc-CLDN25-4:1". Lineage: Eukaryota; Metazoa; Chordata; Mammalia; Primates; Hominidae. The record is from RNAcentral.